Myodes glareolus (Bank vole) is the source of this 2494-nucleotide non-coding RNA. Lineage: Eukaryota; Metazoa; Chordata; Mammalia; Rodentia; Cricetidae. The record is from RefSeq and is a predicted model, not a curated record.
AAGCUGUGGGCGGUUGGCCUUGAGUUGCUUUUUCGCCACGAGUUUAAACACUGGGGAGCGAAGAGCUGGCACCUGGGCCACCCAGACUGUGGCCAGAGGAGCCGGUCAGACAGCCUUGCUAUAUACUCCAGUAUGGCCUCAUACUGGAAAUCUUCCUGCUUGAGCCUAUAGAAUGUUGCGAUUACAAGCAUAUGUCACCAUAAUUUCACUUCUGACUACAAAUCACGAGGGCACCGAAUACGAUGACAUCCCGUGUUGGUGUAGCGGCUCCUCACACGUAUUUUGAGCGUUCUUCAGCAAGAAAGGUGCAACAGUAACUCAAGCUGUUUAUUUACCCAAGAAGAAACUCUGGGAGAUAAAACACAGUGAAGUCCCUUGAAAAUAAGAGGAAAAAAAGCAAAACCGACCAACCAAUCAAAACAUUCCUAGCAAAUUUGAAAACUCAACUUCAAGGUGACUGACUACAGGAACCCUAAGACAAUGCCAGCUCCAAUCUAAGAGACCUCUGAACCAUAAAUGUGAGGAAAAGCUACACUGAUGCAUAAAGAUGGACAAAAAAUGGAGCCAAGACAUGCCAGACCUUUCAUGGAACCAAGAGGGACCUGACCAAGGACCUGCAAAGUAGACAACAAAGCCUACAGGAAGUGCCAUUUCUGAGGAUGUACAUGGGACAUCAAAACAGUGGAAGAAGUAGGUUAAGACAUGAAAGCAACUUUCACUUGAAUGAGUUCAGAAUUGGCAUAUCCUUUCCUCAUGACUCUUCUUAAAGACCUCUCCAUACAGGAGAAAAUAACUAUGCUGUAGAGUAAGCCCAACCCAAGUACUAUUUCUUGGUUUUGAAAUUUAAAAUACAAAAUAAAUAAAAAUGUAAAUUACCACCCUUUCCUAAUUGCUAACUUAAAGAGGGUAUUUUAUAUAUAAUGUUUUCAAGCUUUUUUUUAUUUUUAUUUUUUAAAGAUUAACCCUGUACAAAUUCUAUAUACAUUGUAAAAGGUACAAUACUUGUUAGGGAAUAUUUUUCAAACACCAGACAUCAUUGUGAUUAGUUCUACUUUAAUCAUACUAAUUAAUCUCCUAAUAGGAUAUUACAACAGAACAACUCAUUCUCCACAAAUUAGACAAGAAACCCAAUAAGAGACACCUACGUGGGCUGAUCACAAAUGCUCAGAACUUCCUUUUUCAGACUUCUCUCUCUCUUCCAACUUAAUAUUUCAGAUCAUUUUUUUUUUGUUCCAUCUUUGGUUUCAUGUAACUGAGCUUCAAACUUGCCUAUGUAGCUGAAAACUGGUCUUGAACUGAUCCUUCUCCUGAUUAUACCUCUACCUCCCAAGUGAUUACAGUCAUGAAUUACAAAACCCACUUUAUUUUAAACUUUCUUCAUGGGCUUUCACAAAGAUUAAAGACUUCAACACUUCUAGUCAGUAUACCAAGUAUAUGAUUUGGGAAGCAGAUGGCAAUAAAUCACAUAUUUAGUGCCGACUUUAAACAAGGUUUCUGUCUCUGAACCUCCUGUCUUUCAGACCACAGCUGCCCACCUUCUCCCAGAUAUUAUUCUGAUUCCUAGUAAUACCAGUGUUUAAUAGAAGUCCAGGGUAGUUCCUAAUGACCAUACUGACAGAUAUUCACAGUGCCCCAUUAAUACCAUCUUUGGGGCGCAAUGGAUACAGCCUAUAACCCACACACAGACCAAGGUUGCCUUGUCUCCUGUUCUUUUCCUGUGCUCACUAAAUGCCAAAUCAGUAUGAGGAGACCUUGGAGAUCUUUCAUCUCCUGCUAACUCAAGACCUGACUGGCUUUGCCUGUUGGUAAGCCAAAGUGAGUGGAACCACAGACCUGAGAGGUCAGUGUUAAGAAUUCAUAGAGAUGUUGGCAGGAAAGACCCCUAGAAAUAAAAAGAUUAAAACAAUUCUUUCUGUGCAAGAGUAUUUGGUUUUAGGAUGCAUAGAAAAUAAGUUAUAUUUCUUAAAAUACAUUUUUUUUUUUACUGACAUCCCUAAAGCUACAUGUAUACUGCUUCUCAAUAUUAAAUUUUCAAAAGGCAAUCAGUAAGACAAUUAGGUCUUUAAAUAAAUAGGCAUAUGCCUUUUUAAAGACUUUCAAUAUUUACAUAUACAUCCUUUAUAGGUAGGAUGGUUUGAAAAACAAAUGAAAUAAAAACAAAAGGUUCAAAUAAAAAUUAAUUUUUGUAGGAAAGUAAAGGUCUUAAUGAGUGAAACAGUAAAGACCUCUAGGUACUGGUGCCUAUUGAACCCACUCUGUAUAUAGUGCCUGAUAAGAACAGGUUCCUGGCAACACCCUUAAGUGUGUCUAUAGCCUUCCUUCUGCAAGUAACUGUUCAAACAGACAUUCAGAUCUCACCAGUGAUCCAAACUCUGAGGUCUUUAAGACUUGAUCAUUUCACACGGGAAAAGCUAGUUGUUUAAAAUGAUUUUCUUUAAUCCUUGCCUCAUUGUUAUUUUAAUCCUUGAUAAAAUGCAAAGGGGAAUUUAAAUCU